AGCUUUUUCCAUAAAGGGGCAGUUCACCCAGUAAUGAAAUAAAGCUAUGUUUCCACUUAUGCAGAGUUCUAUCUAUCCAACCUUCUAAGAAUUUGUUAAAACAAUGUUUAAAAGGUUAAAACUUUGACAACACACCCUAAAACAGUGGUGCUUUGGUGGAGACUUGCUGUUUUGCAGUAGAAAGUUUUAAAUGAAGCCGUGUAGAGAAAGGUCUGUGGAUGUUCAUGAGUAAUUAUGUCAUUUUAUUUGAAAAAGAGAAGUUUCUUUGAACGCCACAAAAACUUGGUCCCGUUGAAGUUCGUUGUAUCAAGGGGACAGUGGAUAUCUAGAAAAACAGUAUAAUCUUCCAUAUAUGGACGGAUAGAUCGCACUCCAGGGGCUGUCGGAGCCUAUCCCAAUAUGCAUUGGGCGAGAGGCAAGAAUAUCCCUGGACAGGUUGCCAAUCCAUCGCAGUGGCCUGUGGAAUGCAACAGGUGAUGCCGCGCCUGGGCUCACGGCUAACUUCAGUGUGCUGCAACCGCCCAGAACAGUGGGAAAGGUCUCUGGCCCGCGCUGAGGAGGAGUGACAUCACUGUAUCGCAGAGUGAAGGAGAGUUGGCCCUUGUCCCAUUUUCUCCACAUUGUGGAAAAUGUAGGCUGCAGUGGGCCGUUGUGCUGUGCCCUGGAAGGGCCAGAGACACCUGCCCUCUGCUGGGCUGGGGGGCACCUGAUUAGGAAUCCUGUGAUGUAGGAACGUAAUCCAUCAACCUCCCCAGCUCCACGUCGGGAUGCCUUUCCAGCAAUAACGUGUUCCGCAUGUGGAGUUUGGAGAUAAUAAAUGAGACGCCUAGCAACCAGGGAGAUGUCAGUACACUCCCACUGUGCUCCCUCGCCCCUUAUUCUCGUUUCCAUAUUCUCACCCUCUCCUUUAUUCUCUC
Long non-coding RNA from Anguilla rostrata (American eel), 917 nucleotides. RefSeq lists it as uncharacterized. The transcript is spliced from 4 exons. The record is from RefSeq and is a predicted model, not a curated record. NCBI's taxonomy places the organism in Eukaryota, Metazoa, Chordata, Actinopteri, Anguilliformes, Anguillidae.